CAGCCGCCGCGGUAAUACGUAGGGUGCAAGCGUUAAUCGGAAUUACUGGGCGUAAAGCGUGCGCAGGCGGUUUGUUAAGACGGAUGUGAAAUCCCCGGGCUCAACCUGGGAACUGCAUUUGUGACUGGCAAGCUAGAGUGUGGCAGAGGGGGGUGGAAUUCCGCGUGUAGCAGUGAAAUGCGUAGAUAUGCGGAGGAACACCGAUGGCGAAGGCAGCCCCCUGGGCCAACACUGACGCUCAUGCACGAAAGCGUGGGGAGCAAACAGGAUUAGAUACCCGGGUAGUCCCUGUCUCUUAUAC
This 301-nucleotide ribosomal RNA is filed under the name uncultured bacterium. RNAcentral's name for it is "partial 16S ribosomal RNA". It matches the Rfam family "Bacterial small subunit ribosomal RNA", at positions 509 to 807 of the family's 1533-position model. The record is from RNAcentral.